AGAGUUUGGUCCUGGCUCAGAUUGAACGCUGGCGGUAUGCUUAACACAUGCAAGUCGAACGGCAGCAUAAUCUAGCUUGCUAGAUUGAUGGCGAGUGGCGAACGGGUGAGUAACGCGUAGGAAUAUGCCUUAAAGUGGGGGACAACUUGGGGAAACUCAAGCUAAUACCGCAUAAUCUCUAUGGAGAAAAGCUAGGGACCUUCGGGCCUGGCGCUUUAAGAUUAGCCUGCGUACGAUUAGCUAGUUGGUAGGGUAAAGGCCUACCAAGGCGACGAUCGUUAGCUGGUCUGAGAGGAUGACCAGCCACACUGGAACUGAGACACGGUCCAGACUCCUACGGGAGGCAGCAGUGGGGAAUAUUGGACAAUGGGGGCAACCCUGAUCCAGCAAUACCGCGUGUGUGAAGAAGGCCUGAGGGUUGUAAAGCACUUUCAGUGGGGAGGAGGUUUGCUAGGUUAAGAGCUAAGUAAAUGGACGUUACCCACAGAAGAAGCACCGGCUAACUCCGUGCCAGCAGCCGCGGUA
Molecule: ribosomal RNA, 525 nt
Filed under: uncultured Pseudomonadota bacterium
Lineage: Bacteria; Pseudomonadati; Pseudomonadota
Description: bacterial SSU rRNA
Rfam family: Bacterial small subunit ribosomal RNA
Source: RNAcentral